RNAcentral lists this ribosomal RNA (526 nucleotides) under Melanohalea aff. multispora SL-2012. Its description in RNAcentral is "eukaryotic LSU rRNA". It matches the Rfam family "Eukaryotic large subunit ribosomal RNA", at positions 112 to 650 of the family's 3401-position model. Lineage: Eukaryota; Fungi; Ascomycota; Lecanoromycetes; Lecanorales; Parmeliaceae. The record is from RNAcentral.
AAUUUGAAAUCUGGCCCCUUCGGGGUCCGAGUUGUAAUUUGUAGAGAGUGCUUCGGGUGAGACCGCGGUCUAAGUCCAUUGGAACAUGGCGUCCCAGAGGGUGAGAAUCCCGUAUGUGACUGCGGCUCGAGCCCAUGUGAAGCCUCUUCGACGAGUCGAGUUGUUUGGGAAUGCAGCUCUAAAUGGGUGGUAAAUUUCAUCUAAAGCUAAAUACUGGCUGGAGACCGAUAGCGCACAAGUAGAGUGAUCGAAAGAUGAAAAGCACUUUGGAAAGAGAGUUAAACAGUACGUGAAAUUGUUGAAAAGGAAGCGCUUGCAACCAGACCUGUCCGUAGGCGAUCACCCGCUGUUCUCAGCGGUGCACUCGUUCUGCGAUCAGGCCAGCAUCGGUUCGGGCGGCCGGAUAAAGGCCUUGGGAAUGUAGCUCUCCUUCGGGGGAGUCUUAUAGCCCUCGGUGCAAUGCGGCCAGCCGGGACCGAGGACCGCGCUUCGGCUAGGAUGCUGGCGUAAUGGUUGUAAGCGACCC